This 492-nucleotide ribosomal RNA is filed under the name uncultured bacterium. RNAcentral describes it as "partial 16S ribosomal RNA". It matches the Rfam family "Bacterial small subunit ribosomal RNA", at positions 30 to 507 of the family's 1533-position model. The record is from RNAcentral.
AUUGAACGCUGGCGGCAUGCUUUACACAUGCAAGUCGAACGGUAACAGGCCUUCGGGUGCUGACGAGUGGCGAACGGGUGAGUAAUGCAUCGGAACGUGCCCAGAGGUGGGGGAUAACGCAGCGAAAGCUGUGCUAAUACCGCAUGUGAUCUGAGGAUGAAAGCGGGGGACCAGGCAGCAAUGUUUGGCCUCGCGCCUUUGGAGCGGCCGAUGUCAGAUUAGGUAGUUGGUGGGGUAAAGGCCUACCAAGCCGACGAUCUGUAGCUGGUCUGAGAGGACGACCAGCCACACUGGGACUGAGACACGGCCCAGACUCCUACGGGAGGCAGCAGUGGGGAAUUUUGGACAAGGGGCGCAAGCCUGAUCCAGCAAUGCCGCGUGCGGGAAGAAGGCCUUCUGGUUGUAAACCGCUUUUGUACGGAGCGAAAAGGCUCUGGCUAAUACCUGGUGCUGAUGACGGUACCGUAAGAAUAAGCACCGGCUAACUACGUG